Molecule: non-coding RNA, 29 nt
Filed under: Bombyx mori (domestic silkworm)
Lineage: Eukaryota; Metazoa; Arthropoda; Insecta; Lepidoptera; Bombycidae
Source: RNAcentral
UCAUUCGAUGAGCCGAGACGAUAAGUCCC